RNAcentral lists this ribosomal RNA (497 nucleotides) under uncultured bacterium. RNAcentral describes it as "partial 16S ribosomal RNA". It matches the Rfam family "Bacterial small subunit ribosomal RNA", at positions 28 to 507 of the family's 1533-position model. The record is from RNAcentral.
GAUGAACGCUGGCGGCGUGCCUAACACAUGCAAGUCGAGCGGACGGACGAGAAGCUUGCUUCUCUUAUGUUAGCGGCGGACGGGUGAGUAACACGUGAGUAACCUACCUAUAAGACUGGGAUAACUUCGGGAAACCGCUGCUAAUACCGGAUAAUCUUAUGAACCGCCUGGUUCAAAAGUGAAAGACGGUUUUUCUGUCACUUAUAGAUGCACCCGCGCUGCAUUAGCUAGUUAGUAAGGUAACGGCCUACGAAGGCAACGGUGCAUAGCCGACCUGAGAGGGUGGUCGGGCAGACUGGAACAGAGACACGGUCGAGACUCCUACGGGAAGCAGCAGUAGGGAAUCUUACGCGAUGGGGGAAAGGCGGACAUAGCAACGUCGGGUGAGUGAUGAUGGACUUAGGAUCGGUAGACUAUGUUAGUAUGGAAGUAGAUAAGUGUAAGUAUCUGUGCAGAUCUUGACGGUACCUAAUCAGAAAGCCACGGCUAACUACGUG